AGAUCCUUGCAUAGCUGCAAAUUAUUUGCUGAAAGCUUCACCAAUAUAUGGAAUCUUUGCAAGUUACAACCCCCUUCAGGACUUCCCACGGAUCCUCAACCUCACCCAAUUAUAGAAGACAAAGAUGAGCCACUUGUAGAGCCACGUACUGCUUCGAAGAGGCUCAAUUUUGAUGAUCCGCCGUAGUCAUAGAUACUGAUAGAGACAUAUUGUUGUAGUUGUGGU
Long non-coding RNA from Cryptomeria japonica (Japanese cedar), 225 nucleotides. RefSeq lists it as uncharacterized. The transcript is spliced from 3 exons. The record is from RefSeq and is a predicted model, not a curated record. NCBI's taxonomy places the organism in Eukaryota, Viridiplantae, Streptophyta, Pinopsida, Cupressales, Cupressaceae.